AUAGGAAAUAGGAGCAAGGAGUCUCUAUAGAAAGCAAGAGGGAGAUAGUCACCACCAUGGGUCCAGCAUGGUUCAUAGUUCAGUCACUGAUCUUCAGUAGUGGUGGGUCAUUAGGUGUUGUUCCACUGAUGACAUGGUGAUGAUUGUGACGAUGAUGAUGAUUGCGAUGGCAGCACAAACAUUUAUAAGUCCAAAGUGGUUGAGACAGCUCUUUUUGGAGUGACAGCUUCUGGCUUUUGGAUCUCAGCAGGAACUCCUUUUGUUCUCAUCACCUCAUCACCAGCAGGGACACCUCCCACUAAAUGAAGAUGCCCAAAGUUCCAUCCAAAUUGGACUUGAACACUUCCAGCAAAAGAACUUCCACAACUUCUCUGCAAAAACUGUUCAACUGCCUCAUCAUCCUCUGGAGCUAGAAUGAAGAUGGAAUUUAGAAAAAGUGAGCGAAACCCUAUCAGUGAUGGUAGAGGCUGUCCUUGGCUUCCAAAUAUGUCCUCCCAAAGUCAACAGCAACUAAGGUGAAGAUCUGGUCCUGUGGUUUUUGCACCUGCGCAAAUUUCAAUGGACAACAAUUCUGCAAAGUCAUUCCAGAAUCGGAACUUUAGAGUUAAAAAUACCAGAAGGCAAUGAGGAAGAAACAGAUUGAAGAAGAUACAAUUUGUGAGGGGAAUGAAAAUGCAUACAUUCUUCUGAGCAAAAGUAUGCAUGUGAAAACUGAAAUAAUAAUUAGAUUAGCUAAUCUAGCCUUGGAAGGGAGUAAACUCUUUGAAAGGGUAGAUAACAGCAGGACAAGGGGGAACGGUUUUAAGUUGAAAGAGGGAAGAUUUAGGUUGGAUGUUAGG
Molecule: long non-coding RNA, 839 nt
Organism: Gallus gallus (chicken)
Lineage: Eukaryota; Metazoa; Chordata; Aves; Galliformes; Phasianidae
Exons: 4
Source: RefSeq, a predicted model, not a curated record